AUUGAACGCUGGCGGCAGGCCUAACACAUGCAAGUCGAACGAGUGGCGGACGGGUGAGUAAUGUCUGGGAAACUGCCUGAGGGAGGGGGAUAAAUACUGGAAACGGUAGCUAAUACCGCAUACCAUCAGAUGUGCCCAGAUGGGAUUAGCUUGUGGGUGGGGUAACUCCUCACCAAGGCGACGAUCCCUAGCUGGUCUGAGAGGAUGACGAGCCACGCGGGAACUGAGACACGGUCCAUACUCCUACGUGAGUCAGCAGUGGGGAAGAGUGAACAAUGGGCGCAAGCCUGAUGCAGCCAUGCCGCGUGUAUGAAGAAGGCCUUCUGUUUGUAAAGUACUUUCAGCGGGGAGGCGUUACCCGCAGAAGAAGCACCGGCUAACUCCGUGCCAGCAGCCGCGGUAAUUC
RNAcentral lists this ribosomal RNA (406 nucleotides) under uncultured bacterium. Its description in RNAcentral is "partial 16S ribosomal RNA". It matches the Rfam family "Bacterial small subunit ribosomal RNA", at positions 30 to 526 of the family's 1533-position model. The record is from RNAcentral.